GCAUAUCAAUAAGCGGAGGAAAAGAAACCAACAGGGAUUGCCCUAGUAACGGCGAGUGAAGCGGCAACAGCUCAAAUUUGAAAUCUGGCUCUUUCAGAGUCCGAGUUGUAAUUUGCAGAGGGCGCUUUGGCUUUGGCAGCGGUCCAAGUUCCUUGGAACAGGACGUCACAGAGGGUGAGAAUCCCGUACGUGGUCGCUAGCUAUUGCCGUGUAAAGCCCCUUCGACGAGUCGAGUUGUUUGGGAAUGCAGCUCUAAAUGGGAGGUAAAUUUCUUCUAAAGCUAAAUAUUGGCCAGAGACCGAUAGCGCACAAGUAGAGUGAUCGAAAGAUGAAAAGCACUUUGGAAAGAGAGUCAAACAGCACGUGAAAUUGUUGAAAGGGAAGCGCUUGCAGCCAGACUUGCUUGCAGUUGCUCAUCCGGGCUUUUGCCCGGUGCACUCUUCUGCAGGCAGGCCAGCAUCAGUUUGGGCGGUGGGAUAAAGGUCUCUGUCAUGUACCUCUCUUCGGGGAGGCCUUAUAGGGGAGGCGACAUACCACCAGCCUAGACUGAGGUCCGCGCAUCUGCUAGGAUGCUGGCGUAAUGGCUGUAAGCGGCCCGUCUUGAAACACGGACCAAGGAGUCUAACAUCUAUGCGAGUGUUUGGGUGUCAAGCCCGAGCGCGUAAUGAAAGUGAACGGAGGUGGGAACCCGCAAGGGUGCACCAUCGACCGAUCCUGAAGUUUACGGAAGGAUUUGAGUAAGAGCAUGGCUGUUGGGACCCGAAAGAUGGUGAACUAUGCUUGAAUAGGGUGAAGCCAGAGGAAACUCUGGUGGAGGCUCGCAGCGGUUCUGACGUGCAAAUCGAUCGUCAAAUUUGGGCAUAGGGGCGAAAGACUAAUCGAACUAUCUAGUAGCUGGUCUGCG
Molecule: ribosomal RNA, 904 nt
Filed under: Exserohilum rostratum
Lineage: Eukaryota; Fungi; Ascomycota; Dothideomycetes; Pleosporales; Pleosporaceae
Description: LSU rRNA
Rfam family: Eukaryotic large subunit ribosomal RNA
Source: RNAcentral